Biomphalaria pfeifferi is the source of this 71-nucleotide non-coding RNA. The record is from the annotation of a GenBank genome assembly. NCBI's taxonomy places the organism in Eukaryota, Metazoa, Mollusca, Gastropoda, Planorbidae.
UCAAAAAUUAAUACAAUAUCCUUUCCUAUAAGUACAAAGAUGGCCACCUAGACCGAUCUUCUUUGAAAAUG